AGAGAUAACGGAAACUUUGCAGAAGGAAAGGAAGAGGGUUUUGCAUUGCAAGAGUGAAGAGUGAGUGAGUGAGUGUCAAGAGUGAAGAGUGAAGCGUGAAGGAAGAGUGAAGAUCAUCGCCGGCCGCAACAACCAGAGCGUUUCUUUCUCUCUAUUUUCCUUUCUCUUCUUCUUCUUCUUCUUCUUCUUCUUCUUCUUCUUCUUCUACGGUAACAUUAACGGUAACGUUAACUUGAGAGAGAGGGUUUCGAAUCAAACAGAGAGAGAGAGAGAGGGUUUCGCCUCAAACAGAGUGGGUUUCUUUUCUUUGCUUCAAGAAUGCAAAGAAAUUGAUCAAGAAUCGUUCAAUUGGAAGAAUAAUGGAUGUGAUCAAGAUGCAGCAGAAAUUGCUGCUUAUGAAGUUGAGGAAAUAGGAGUUGAACACUUGCUUAGAGAUGUGAAGGAUACAAUCAUUAGCACCCUCGCAACAGAGGUGGGUUUGGGUUAAAGAAUUGGGAAGAAUUUCGUAGAAAUUUGGAAAAGAAGUUGUGAGCAUUUAUGUUUUUUCUGGGGUAUUAAGGUGAAUUUUGGUCCUAGAAUUUGGGAUAAUUGAAAAAAUUCUUAAGAAAAGAUUACUGGUAGCUUUUGGGAGCAAGUGAGAGAAAUUUAGACCAAAUCAGAAAAGACGACACUCUAGAAGCAAAACAAGCUCAACAACACACUAUCUUAUAUGACAUGAUAGCUGCCCAACAAGAAUGUCAUCCAUUAUGCGAGAUAUGCACCACUGACACCUUUUUCAGGGCUAUUAUCCACCACCUAGUUGAUUUUGUGAGUUCUUUCCCUUUUCUCCUUGUUAACUUCACUUUUACAUUGGGAUAAUUUCACGUUUAAGCAUGGGGAGAUUGAUUUGCAUUAUCAUUUUUUAUUUUUACUAUUACUUGUUAGCAUGCGCAUAUUAUUUCAUUUUGUUUGCAUUAUAGCAUGUCAGACUCAUCAUAUCCUUUCCCAGGUUUUAUCUAUCUUAUUUCAUUUUCUUUAUUAAAUUUUAAUGUUGAUACUUUACCCAAUUUGUUUGUUUAAUUAACUUAAGUACAUAUAAACUUGUUUUAAAGCAUUUUUUUAGAAUUGAACUACAAAUUUUAAACCACAAUAUAAGCUUUGGAUAGCAGUAGCACAACAUAUAAUGGUUACAUAUAAUGGUCCAGUUGUGUGAUGGGGUUGUGGAUUAAGAUUAGUUAGUGGAACCAAUGCCCAAGGUGUGGAGGACCCAAGGUGUGGAGGGUAUAUGUGAGAAAGAGAAAGUACAAAGCGGAAAAAGAGGGAUUGAAUGCAUGAGUAAGAUAGGAGGGCAGGUUAUGAGUAUGGGGGGAUCAUAGUGGGGAAUCAUACUGGUUAUACACGAUUAGAGAGAGAAUUCCAAUAGGAAUUGGAACCUCUGUAGAAGCCAUAUGCUCUGGAUGGUUUCUAUUUUCUGUUUUGGUUGUUAUAGUGAGUCAUACCUAAAUUUUCUUUCUCAAGAUUCCAUAAAUGUCCUAUUGAGAAUUUAUGUGUGCGCAUCUUGCAUACUAUUUCCGUAGUAUUUUGCAUCUUUUUCGUAUUGUUAUCAUUCAUGCCUGUUGAUUUAGUAUGCAACAAUGCAUUUUACUUGUUUUAGUUCAAAUGAUUGGUCUAUUUUAUGUUGUGUUUGAGGUGAAAUUUUGUCCUUUAAUUGGAAGGAUUAAAAAAAGUUUGCUAGAAUAGAUUGCCAAUAGAGGUUUUGGGAGCAAGCGAGCGAAAUUUAAACCAGAUCAGAAAUCACCACAUCCUAGAAACCGAGCUAGCUCAACAAUGCACUAUAUUAGAUGACAAGAGAGCUUUGACAACUAGAAAAAUGUCAUCCAGUUUGUGAGCUAUGCACCAUUAACCUCUUUCUCAAGGACAUAAUCCGUCAGCUAGUAGAUUUUGUGAGGAUUUCCCUUUUUCUUCUCUUAAACUUUGUGUGAACAUUGGGGACAAUUUAACUUAAAUGCAUGGGGAGAUUGAGUUGCAUUAGCAUUUUUUAUUUUUAGAGUUAUUUGCUUGCAUGUACAUAGUUAUGCAUUAUGUUUUCAUUGUAGCAUGUCCUACUGAUUAUAUCCUUUUUCAUAAUUUAUCUAUUUUAACCGCUUUCUUUAGAAUAUUUUAGGAUUAAUUCUUUAGGGAAUAGGGACCCAAUUUUUUUGUUUAAUUUAACUUAAUUACAUGCAAAUUUGUUUUAAAGAUAUUAUUUUACCAAUGACCUAUCAAUUUAAACUGCAAUAUAGCCUUAUAUAGCACAACAUAAAAUGGCCAAGAUGUUGAUGGGGCUGGGGGUCAAGAUCCUUUGGAGCCAAGGUGUUGACUGUGGAGUGUAUAUGUGAGAAAGAGAUAGAACGAAGGGUUAAAAGAGGAAUUGAACACAUGAGUAAGUUAGGAGGGAAGAUUAUGAGUGUAUGGGAGAAUCAUUCAGGCAGUUUAUAUACGGUUAGAGCGAGAAUUUCAAUAGUCUUUCGAACCUCUGUAGAAGCCACAGGCACUGGUUGAUUUCUAUUUGUUGUUUUGCUUGUCAUAGUGAAUAUUCUUUUUUCUAGAUUCCAUAGAUUUCUUAUUGAAAAUUGAUGAGUGUGCAUGUUGUUGUAUACUAUUUUUAUAGUAUUUUGCAUAUUUUCUUUAGUUGUAUCAUUCCUACUAAUUCCAACAUGCAUAUUGCUUGUUUUAGUUCAAAUGAUUUGUUUUUUUUU
Long non-coding RNA from Lotus japonicus, 2717 nucleotides. RefSeq lists it as uncharacterized. The record is from RefSeq and is a predicted model, not a curated record. The transcript is spliced from 4 exons. Lineage: Eukaryota; Viridiplantae; Streptophyta; Magnoliopsida; Fabales; Fabaceae.